Molecule: ribosomal RNA, 440 nt
Filed under: uncultured bacterium
Lineage: Bacteria
Description: partial 16S ribosomal RNA
Rfam family: Bacterial small subunit ribosomal RNA
Source: RNAcentral
CCUACGGGAGGCAGCAGUGGGGAAUAUUGCACAAUGGGGGAAACCCUGAUGCAGCGACGCCGCGUGAGUGAAGAAGUAUUUCGGUAUGUAAAGCUCUAUCAGCAGGGAAGAAAAUGACGGUACCUGACUAAGAAGCCCCGGCUAAAUACGUGCCAGCAGCCGCGGUAAUACGUAGGGGGCAAGCGUUAUCCGGAUUUACUGGGUGUAAGGGGAGCGUAGACGGCAGAGCAAGUCUGAAGUGAAAGCCCGGGGCCCAACUGGGGGACUGCUUUGGAAACUGCCCGGCUAGAGUGCUGGAGAGGUAAGCGGAAUUCCUAGUGUAGCGGUGAAAUGCGUAGAUAGUAGGAGGAACACCAGUGGCGAAGGCGGCUUACUGGACAGUAACUGACGUUGAGGCUCGAAAGCGUGGGGAGCAAACAGGAUUAGAUACCCCGGUAGUC